This 8413-nucleotide unclassified non-coding RNA is filed under the name Pomacea canaliculata. RNAcentral describes it as "dual specificity testis-specific protein kinase 2- like, transcript variant X1". The record is from RNAcentral. Lineage: Eukaryota; Metazoa; Mollusca; Gastropoda; Architaenioglossa; Ampullariidae.
AAGGAGUCGUGACCCAGUUUGAGAAUAUCCCAUCAUGCACUCCACCAAAACAUUCGUCUUCCGUGUGUGCAGCCUGAGAAGCAAGAGACGAAUAGCGAUUCGUCGGUUUACCGGCUUUGGGCGGGUAAGAGAGUUUGUUUACUCCCCAUGUAUCGCCCACACAGUCAACCCCCGUGAAAGGAUAUAACCGCUCUUCGGGAAAUUUCAUGGAGUCUGUGCACGGGGAAGGAAAUUGCUAUCCAUUCCAUUCACUAUUGUGGGGACCAGCUAUGAUUUCUGUGGCAGGUUGAACUUAUGCAGUCCCAAUCAACAACAUGCCAUUGAGCUUGUACACAUUCUUUUUCCAUCACAAACUGGUUGAUGCUCGGAUAGGAUUGACUGAACCUCUUUUCGUACCGAAGUCAGUUUCUUGCUUGUUUGAAGUUUGGUUACAUGGAUGCACUAACGUGUUUGGCGUCAGUCGUGAUGUUCAAAGCUGCGAUUGUUCGCCAGAUGUAAAUAUUAUCGACCAACAAUGACAGCUGAAAUGGAUAAAACUUCGUCUUCAACAAAGCGGUCAACGCUUCGACGCAGUCGUACGAUAACAUGUAAUGUGUAUCCAGCUACACGACCUGUCCAGGAUCGUCCAGUGGACAGGACAAGAGAACCUUCACCAAACGACGAGACUUCCCCCAAGUCAUCGUGUCAAGCACUCCGACACGCAGUUUCGGCUUUAACGAGACUGGACGAUUUCAUAUGCGAGAAAAUUGGUGCCGGCUUUUUUUCAGAGGUGUUUAAGGUGACACACCGUACCACAGGACAGGUGAUGGCCUUAAAAAUGAACACGAUGACCAGCAACCGUCAUAACAUGCUACGGGAGGUUCAGCUCCUGAACCGUCUCUCACAUCCCAACAUUCUCAGGUUCAUGGGGGUUUGUGUUCACGAAGGGCAGCUGCACGCCUUGACUGAGUUCAUUUCUGGAGGGAGUUUGGAGCAGCUGCUGCAAGAGGAGGAGGAGCUUCCAUGGACACAGAGAAUUCAUCUGACCCAUGGGGUGGCCCGCGGUCUUCACUACCUGCACUCCAUGGGCUUUAUGCAUCGUGACCUCACCUCAAAAAAUAUUUUGAUCAAGAAAGAAGAUAACCGGAGCUAUCACGCUGUCAUUGCUGACUUUGGCUUGGCAGCUAAAAUUCCAGACCCUCUAAAUAAGGAAAAACUGCCAGUGGUUGGGUCCCCUUACUGGAUGGCACCAGAGGUCUUGCAUGGGGAUUUCUACAAUGAGAGGGCUGACAUUUUCUCCCUGGGCAUAAUCAUGUGUGAGAUUACAGCUCGCAUAUCAGCAGACCCAGAUGUCAUGCCCAGAAUGCAGAAUUUUGGAGUGGACUAUGUGGCCUUGAGUGAGAUGAUUGACUAUUGUCCUCUGGAUUAUCUGCAGUUAGCCUUCAAGUGUUGUCAGGUGGACCCUAGCAAGCGGCCUGAGGGUAGUGAGAUAAUUGAUUGGCUGGAGAAGAUUUACAGGAAUCUGCAGAAUGAUAUUGUUACACAGCAAGAAAAAGAGAAAACAGAGCGCAGUGGUCAUAAACGUUCGAGAUCAGAGGACAAUAUUUUACAAGCAAAUGACAGUGAAGCAGACACCAGCAAUGAGGAUAUCAUUGUUACACCACUUCUGAUUGGACAGGUGAUGAGUCGAGAUGAUCCAUCCUAUGAACCAUCAAGCACCAACCCCUUUGCAGCCAUUCAGCGCUUUCGACAUGGGCGCAAACUAUUGGGUACAUCUAUGGAUUAUUCUACAGACCUAAUUUCCCCAGCCACUCCAUUAACACCACCUUCCACCCCAGGCUGCCCUGAUUUCAAAUGUGCAAGAAAUCGAGAUCAUACUGAUGGGAUGGCAGUCAGGCGUUGUCAGUCACUCCCUUCAUCGCCAGUCCUUCUUCGUAGAGCAGCAGAAAAACUGCAUCAGGAGUCACUGCAUGGAAGUGCACGCUACUGUUCUCAGCAGCACCAGAGUGGUUUACAUGCCAUGCGAGCACGCUCCAAGAGUACUGUACUGGGUGAGGCACUGGCUGCCAGGUUGCAACGGGAGCUGUCUCCUGGCCUAAUUAUACAGCCUGUCAUGUCUACUUUUAUCCCCGAGUCUCAGCAAGAAGCAGAACUCUUGGAGACCGAAGGGACCUCUGUCUCAAACUACAAUAGCAGCUGUGUGAGAGGGGUGAAUGGCUUGGAAAGAAAUACACAGGACGAAGUGCUUGAUUGUCUGGGGCAAAGUCCAGGGAUACGGAGCUCAGUCCCUGGGGCAGUGUACAUCACCCCUCCUAGCAUGGCCUGCACAGCAGCAAACAAACGCAGCCUACGUAAGACGAAGCAAAAAAGUUUGGACGAGGACUGUGAUGCCGUGAUACACCAUCCGCAGAGAAAUGGCCACGGGCCAAGGGAAAAUGGAAACUAUUCUCGAGUUUUAUCAAGCAAGGGGAAUGCAGUUGCUAGCAGUGCUGAAGAGACGAGGGACAAAAAAGUGCUGCAGUUGGCCCCACGGGAGGUGAGUCCUGCCAGCAUGCGCAGCUCCUGUGAAUCAUUCAUGUCUAUUGAUGAACACGACACGUCAACACCAAGCUCCUUGUCCAGCUACAGUGAAGCCAAUGACUAACCUCUACAGGAGACAGAUCUACUCUUGCUGUUUGCAAAGCUUUUGUGUUAUGUAUCAUUAUGGAUAAGGAGAUCUGUGAUGACAACACUAUGAGACAAACUCUGUUCAGCUUCCUGUGCACACAAAGUAAACAAAAAAAGAAAUAUCAUGUGGACUAUUGAGGUGUUUCCUGCAUUUGAUGUAAUGCACUGCAAUCAUUUUCACUUUAGCAUGAAAAUGAAAAGUGGUCAGUAGACUUGUUCAUUCAAAAUUCAGAGCAACAGCAGACAUAUUCUUUUGAAGGCUCUUGUUGUUUCUGGUUCACCUGUGAAAUUCAGGGAAAUGGAAAGUGCAAUUUUUCAAGUACACAGUAUUUCUUGAGGUGCCAAAAAAAAAAACACAAGCAUCCUUUUAUUUGGGUGGUCUUUGAAAAAGGCAUUGUUGACAUGGAUGAGUCAAAUGCAGAAUAUUUGCAUAUCAUCAGAUACUGUAGAACAACUGAACCUAGGAAGAUUUAUUGUCUUUUGGGCUGGUGGGUCUACAACUCUAGGAGGAAGUAAGUUUUCGUCAGCAGGAAAGAACAAAGUAAGAAAAAAGACUGGAAUUAUUCUUUUUUAUAGUUUUUAUUUUGGUCAACGAUAAAGUUCAGGUAAAAAUUGCAGUCUUUUCAAAAUUGAAAUACUCUGAUGCAAACAUGUUUGGAUAGCUUUUGAACUCCUUCCAUAAGUGCCAAAAAAAGGCUUUUUAGUGUUUCUAUCCCAAGGCCAAACUUUCUAUUACAGGUAUAUAAAGUGUGAGUUGCUAUAGAUUUAAACUGAUACCAGAUUAUUCCAAAAACACUUUUGUUCACUUCAAAUGCACAUCGAAAGAGUGUAUGUCUACAAGAGGGGGAGAAUGUGUGUUUGUAUGCUGAAUUUUCAUGAGCUGGACUAAUGAUUUAAACAAAGAUUAUAGUGUGUAUAAAGGCUUGAAUGCUUUUGUGUCACCUUUAUUCAUGUAAGGUACAGAACGUAAUUAUUUUCAUUGAUUUCACUAUUAUCAAAUGUAAUAAAUAGGUUUUUAAACAUGCUUUGCUGUGUGACUAUUGUUUUCUUUGCGCUUCUCCUUUUCUUGAAGAAAAGUGAAACCAUUUAGGGCUGGAAUUUACCACGUAUCUGCUAGACCUAUAUUUAAGGGAUCAAGUAAAGUAGGCAGAUCUAAAGAAUAAAUACAUUUUCUUCUUUCUCACCUUAACAGAUCUAAAGACUUCUUGGUUAGAAAACUUCACUUUUCUAAAAUUUUACUGUUAUCGCUCCUGACUGACAGCAUCUCUUGUAUUUAUAGUAGCCAGACUGAAUUAGUUGAUUAUUCACUUAAAAUUUGUUUUGCUGCACACUAAUUAUAAGCAUUAAGGUGAGCAUGUAAAAAAAAAAAAAAGAAAACAUUGAAAGUGACGCUAGGGUAGAUGUCCUCUUUGAGGUGAAAAUAUCUGCUCUCAGUUUAUUAUUAUGAACUCAGUUUAUUACAGCUUCAUUUCUGCAUCAGCACAACACAAUUUUCUGUUGUCUUCUUUCAUGUCACCACAGUGGAAUUGCAGAAAUUGAACAACUUUAUUUUUUAAUUUCAACUUUAUUUAUUUAUGGUUAUUCUUGUUUCCCUUCAGACUGCUACAGCUGGAUGAGUGUUCUUUAACCUUUUGCCCACAUCACAUAGUCCUAGAGGUAUUUUACCAGUGACAAAAACAGCUGUAGGCAGAUUUUGAGAGAAUGUUGAAAGACAGUGAGAAAAGAGAAUCCAACAGUUGAUGAUGGGCAUAUGCAUAGCAUAAAAGUUUGGGAUGAGGGCUUUAUUAGGACAACAAGUGGUUUGCCAAAUAGCAAGAUUUUGACUUGCUUACAUACAAACACUCUGGUUAAGGUGAUGUUUUGCUCAUAACUAUUUAAGAGAAAUAACCGCACAAUCUUUUGGAGUUCCUCAAGGUCUUUUUUUUUCCUGUUGCUCAUACAGAUCACUCCAGAAUUCCUCAUUUGUUUAUAAAUGGAUAAAGCCAUUUGCUGCUAAUAUUCUUGUGUAAAGGAGAAGAUAUAUAUUUCCUUUCUGCAUCAACAUUUUAUUUGAUAAAUUUCUCUAUUCAUUACUUAUACUUCUUCACUAGUGUUACUAAACAAUAAAACAGGUUGCAUGAGGAAAGGAGGAAAUUAGCAGAAGUGUGAAGCUUGACCAUCAUGUUUUAACUAUGAAGAUGGUGAAAUCCUGCUCUUUCGAAGUCAUUUUUAUAUCUUUAAAUCUUUCUACAGGCAGAUCAGCAGCAAGGCAGAUUUUUUUUUUAUCCAUAUCAGUUAACUUUCUAAUAUAACUUGCUGCUUAUAAUUCACAGACCUUUGUUUGAUUGUGAAGCCAUGUUUUAUUGGUAGAGAGUAUGUUUGCGACUUGUAAAAUUUAAAAUAUGUAUGUUUUAUGCAAGCCCCAAACACUUAUUCCUUGCAUAAAUGUGAGAUUCUCUUUGCAAGACUUCUUUUUUCUAUUUUUGUUGUGACAUUUAUUGUUGCUAUUUGUGUUUAAUUGGAAAGUGUUGAAAAAUGUUGUAAUCUUUUAUUUUGAGAAAGUCAAGGGCAUAUAUGUUGCUUUUAAGGUUACUGUAAGCAAUGAUUGAGUUGUUAAAUAUCAGUGUUUAAGGAGCAGGGUCUUUAUGUGUUGUCUAGAGUGUAAAGAUGUUUGAGCCGCAUAUUCUUUUGGGCACUCUCACUAGGGAUGCUAUGUCUAAAAAGAAAAUCUCAGAUUGGUUUCCUUACUACCAUUAUGCCAUGUUACCGAAAAGUGUCUGCGUUGAUCAUUAUCAAAAGCCUUCACAAUGCUGUACACCAUAUACACCUAACCAGUGUGAAAAAACGAUCAGUUCACAAACAUAAGUUUAUUUAUUUCUUGGAUGCAUCACUGGCAAGAAUGGGAAGAUUAAAUGAUUUCUGUGCCUUGUGUCAGAGAAGCUCUUGAGUUACAUCACUGCAAACCCUGUUUGUAGACAGCUGCUGGCCUUGCAACUUUCGUCCAAAAUUUGAUGAGGAUAUAAUUGUAGUUCUUAAUUUACUGUAGUUCCUUAUUUAUUGGAAAUUAUUUGAGGAGUGGUGAUGGGAAAACGCUUUUAUUUUUUACCUAAAAAUAACCAUGGCAUGGAAGGGGUUUAGACUGCAAAUGCCCAGCGUUGCUUUAAACAGAAGUGGCUCUAGCUUUACUAAAAUUAAAAGGAGAUUUGUGACAGUUCAUUAUGGAAAAGUAUCCCUGGAAUUCCAUCUAACAAAUGCCAAUAUAUGCACAAUCCAUAAAAUGCAAUCACCAGGCACAAAAAGGUGGAAAUAUUUAGUCUGUGAUCUUUAUGGUACUGGUAAAUGCUUGACCUGCACAUUUUCAUUCCACUGUUAGUGCUGUGUAUAUUGCGAAUGCUGCAUAUACUGUAGUUUUUUUUGUAAUAGUCAUUUACCUGUGUAUAUAUUGCAGCUUCUAUGCUCACCGAUAGCUGCUUCUACCUGGAGAUGUAGAUAUUUCUUUCCUACAAAAAUGCUGAUGUAAAUUAUUUUAGUCCCUUGACAGUGGUUGUUUAAAAUAUGUUAAAAUAUAUGUGUGUGUAUGCAUGCACAUGAUUGUGAUAUGUGGAGGAUAGUUUACAUGCACUUGCUUCUACUUGCAGCUCUGGUGUUGUCAUAUCAUAUUUUAUCUGUUCCAUUUAUUCAUUUGAUGAUUUGUGUACCUCAAAUUAUCCAAAUUAUCAUAACUGCAUCCUUUUGACUUUGGUGUUAUGUUACUCAGUCAAGUUUACAUAUGAAAACAUAUAUUUUCAGUUUCUUGAUGGUAUGGAGAAAUAAUUGCAAAGAUUUAUUAUAUCACGUAAUGAAGCAUAUAAGAAUUUAUAUACAUUGAACAUUUUAUCCACUUAAUUUAUAUUAUCACCGUUAUAAAAUAUUUGCUUGAUUGGCUUUUGUUGUGUAUUUUUGAAUCCAGAGUCAGGAUCAAAUGCUGUUGAAAUAAUUGCAACUCAGAUAUUUACUUUUUUUUUUAUUAUUAUUAAAUUACAAAGAAUUUAAAAGGAUUGGCUUCUUUGAAGUUCUCAAUUCUCUUGAGUAAUGAUGUGUACAUAUUAUAAAUGGUCACUUUCCCAUGUUAAGACAUUAUAGUUGAGGUAUCUACUAUGCACCUCCAUGUUUGUAACAUUGAGCUAGACAAAUUUUUAUUGUUUUUCUGGUUACCAUGCAAAUUAUAUUGUUGAUCAUAAUGACUUGAGAGAGUUGUUUAAGGAUUUUCACUGUUUGCUUGCAUCUAGAAAAUGCCUAAUUUUUCCAAGAAUGUGGAAAAUGAUUGGUUUGUAUUCUGCACAUUUAUACAUAUAUAAAUUAUUUUAAUGUUAAACCAUAUUAAUUUACUACAAGUUUAUUUGUAUUUCAUGAAUGUCUCACUAGUGUCAAAGCUGUCAAAGAGGGAGGUAGUUAUAAUCAGAAAAACAGCUUACUAUUAUUAUAUUAACGGUUUAAUGUGCAGUUUUUUUUUCACUCUUUUUUGAAUGUCUUAAUAUUGAUAAUUAAUUGGAACACAAAGAUCCACAUCUUGGAAUUUUUUAUCAGGUAUUGGAAGAUUGAGAACAUUUUGGGGGGAAUGCUGGGUGAGCAUGCUGCCAGAAUAUGUCAUUUGGGCAUUUUAAGUUUCUUUCAGAUUUGAGAGGUAGUUAUUCAGCCUGAGGACCUAACUGGUCAUUAACAAAUUAAAAAUGAAAAAUGUCAAAUGAUUUCUGAUAUAUUUCAUCUUGUUAUCUCCAUUGAUGUAUAUACUAUACAUUAAUCUUUUGUCAGUUGUGAUUCUCUCAUGGUUAACAUUAAGACUUCUGCAACUUGUAUUUGAAAUCAUUCUUGCUAUUUAGCAUUUGCAAUCUUCUAAAUAAGUGAAAUAUUAGGGGUAGGGGCAGAAUCUAGCCUGUAUGACAUUGCAAUAUCUUUGUGCCUGGUGCAGAUGUGAUAAUUUCAAUUUUAAACUAUAGAUUUUAUUCAGCUGCAGUAUGGAAGUAGGCAGAUGACUUCAAAGUUGGUAAUCAUGGGAUUAGCCUUCGGGAUUCUCUACUCUGUGCCCCUGUAAUCUGUUCAUUGUAACAUUAUUUCUUUCUUUGGUGACAUUCAUCCUUCAUGUUUUUUGCUUAAAUAAAACUUUUCCUUAUUAUUUAAAAAAAAUCAGCCCCAUUUUAAGGUGGCCUGCAUUGUUAACAACAGUAAAACUAGGGUAUAAACAUUGUUUCUGCCAGAAAUUCUAUGAAAGCACUUGGGCUACAAAAGUAAACUUCUUUUUGUUCCUAAUCACCCCCAGUGGACCAUAGGGCCAACAAAUGUAUAACUAAGAACUCUUAAAGAAGUCCCACAGUAUCUUACUUGCUGGAUUAUUUAUCUUCUUUGCUAUUUUUAAUUAAAAUAAAGCAAAGUAGGAAAGAAACUGCAGAAAGUUAUGUUGCUGAUAUGAUAUUCCAAUUGUUAUAAAUGUGAUCAAAAUGUGUAAAAAAUAUACACUUUGCAGCUUGGUCAUUUCAGCAUUGUCAAUCUAGUCAUUGCGAUUUUGUGGUGACACAAAGCAGACAAGUCACAGAGCUCCAUAUUUGUUCAGACGGUGAUAUAGACUAUGGCCUCAAAUGAACUAUUUAGGAAAAGUGAAUUUUGGAAACCUUAAUUUGCUUUUUUUUUCAAUUUUCUUAUUACUUUUAACUGCCAACUUAUAACCACUUCCAUACAUUUUCUUUUUACUGUUGCUGUGUUCAUAGAAUAAUAGUCGACAACCAGAUAAUGAAAAUAAAGUUGCUGAACCAUU